RNAcentral lists this ribosomal RNA (436 nucleotides) under uncultured bacterium. Its description in RNAcentral is "bacterial SSU rRNA". It matches the Rfam family "Bacterial small subunit ribosomal RNA", at positions 43 to 524 of the family's 1533-position model. The record is from RNAcentral.
CAGGCCUAACACAUGCAAGUCGAACGCCCGAGCAAUCGGGAGUGGCAGACGGGUGAGUAACGCGUGGGAACAUACCCUUCGGUUCGGAACAACGCCGGGAAACUGGCGCUAAUACCGGAUACGGCUGAGAGGCGAAAGAUUGAUCGCCGAAGGAUUGGCCCGCGUUCGAUUAGCUAGAUGGUGCGGGUAACGGCCCACCAUGGCGACGAUCGAUAGCUGGUCUGAGAGGAUGGCCAGCCACACUGGGACUGAGACACGGCCCAGACUCCUACGGGAGGCAGCAGUGGGGAAUAUUGGACAAUGGGCGCAAGCCUGAUCCAGCCAUGCCGCGUGAGUGAUGAAGGCCUUAGGGUUGUAAAGCUCUUUUAUCCGGGACGAUAAUGACGAUACCGGAGGAAUAAGCCCCGGCUAACUUCGUGCCAGCAGCCGCGGUAAU